UUCUGUGGCAGUAGCAGUUUGUGCUCAAUUCAUCUGAGGCUGUGGAAGCAAAUGCUCCUUCUUCAGGGCUCACUCAUCACUUCUGUGAGACACGACUUGCUCAGAAAGGCAGGAGAUGGGGCAGGGUGCUUCACCACAGAAACAGGAAGUGAAACCAAGAUGUCUCUUUUCUCCUCAAACAACCCUGGCACAGGGUGCUUGCGUGCUGAGAACUAUCUGGAAGGCAUGUGGAGAAUAAAUACUUAAGACACAGAGGCCAAAACAAAGCAAGAAAGAAUGCACAAGUCCUCUGAAGGCUGCAGAGUUCUUAGGACUAAUGCUAAAACCUUAGAAGUUUAAACAUUAAAAUGUCGUUGAAGAACCCGAAGAAAAAUGUUCUUUCCCCUUGUGCCACAUUCGCUUUUGGGGGCUGUAAGUGUGUAUGUGUGUGUGGAGGCAUGUGUGCAUGUGUGUUCAGGUGUUCACGUGUGUCUA
Meriones unguiculatus (Mongolian gerbil) is the source of this 474-nucleotide long non-coding RNA. RefSeq lists it as uncharacterized. The record is from RefSeq and is a predicted model, not a curated record. The transcript is spliced from 3 exons. NCBI's taxonomy places the organism in Eukaryota, Metazoa, Chordata, Mammalia, Rodentia, Muridae.